AUUAAAUUAAGAAAUGAAUAUAAAUCUUUAUAAAAUUACAAUUUUCUAAAUUUCAAUGUUUUAUAAAAAAAAAUUAAAUAAUUUUAAGAGUUUAUGGAACAUGUAAUUUCACUAAUAUUUACUUUUGUUUUAAAUUAUGUAAAAUAUAAUUUUGAAAAUAAUCUAGUAUAUGUUUUUCUAGAUUUUGCUUGUACUAACAAAAUGGAUGAGAUAUCCGUAAAUGUUUGCAAAUAUCUGUAAAUUUUCUAGAUAUCUGAAAAAUCAGAUAUUCGUAUUUUCCGAACCAAAGCAAAUCAUAAAAUUAUAUAUCCUUUAAAUACGAAAAAUCAUAAAUACUAAAAAUUAUGGUAGUAUCGAUCCGUGCAGACCCCUCGUUUUACCAUAAUCAUGUUAAACUAAGUAGGUCAUCAAUAUUACUUUUAGAAUGGAUUUUAUCCUAACUAAGAACCCAAAAUUUCUUAAAAUAAUGUAACUAAAGUAUAGAUCUUACACCAUGAGAUGUCUCCACGUAUCUUAAUAAUUUAAAGCCAAUUUGGUUGGUUAAAUAAAUACGAGAGAUACCAUUGGUAGCGACAAAAGAAAAAAAUGUCACUGAGAGAUAUCAAGAGGAGCAAUAAUUGAAUUGAGUGGAGAAGAACGGUUACACCUUUUCAUUUAAUUUGGUUUAUCCUUUUCUCUAGUUUUGAUAGUAUUUCUUACACUUUUCGCCUCUCCGAUCCAUCGUUAUAUGUAAAGCCUUCUAUCAGUGAAGGAAGAGAUAAGAGGUAAAGAGAAAAGAUACAUGGGUUCUUCACAGCUAUGUCAAGCCUUCAUUGUGCUUCUGCUUCUUUGCGUCAUACCUUCCCUUGCUGAAUCUGCUAUACCGUUUCAUCAACAACCACUUUCAGUCAUCGGGAGAAGGUUGAUGAGUACAGGGAUAGAUACAGGACCAUCAACAAGUCGACCUGGUGGUGGUGGUAGAACUCCAUCCCCCUAGUUCUACAUCUAAACCCGUGGACAUGUGGUGCAGUGGUGGUAGAACUCCAUCCCCCUAGUUCUGCAUAUAUUAAUGUAAUGUGCAGUCUCUGAGCUCACAAGUCAAGCUUUUAGUUUAUUUCGAUUUUAUGUAUAUUGUAUAUGAGUUGAUCAAAAAACAAAAAUGAGAACCAAAUUAUAUA
Molecule: long non-coding RNA, 1157 nt
Organism: Brassica napus (rape)
Lineage: Eukaryota; Viridiplantae; Streptophyta; Magnoliopsida; Brassicales; Brassicaceae
Exons: 2
Source: RefSeq, a predicted model, not a curated record